This 592-nucleotide long non-coding RNA is filed under the name Chinchilla lanigera (long-tailed chinchilla). RNAcentral describes it as "lncRNA (ENSCLAG00000025387.1)". The record is from RNAcentral. Lineage: Eukaryota; Metazoa; Chordata; Mammalia; Rodentia; Chinchillidae.
UCUGCUUGUUCUCUCUGAUUGAUGUCCUAGGGCCAGGGAAGUUCUGAAGGGACGUACAAAUGGGCAACACUGAGCUCGGUUUUGGGCUCUGAGCCCCACCACCUGCAUUGUAUGUAUCCUCUGCCUCACCCCCAGUCAGUUGUAUGGUUCAAGGGUUAUAUUCUAAGAGACCACAUCCCAGGCAAUGGAAGAAUCCAAGGAACACAGAACCGAAUAUUCCCUGGUCAGUGAAGUCCAGGAUCUCCUGCCCUGUGACUUGAUCUUCCUUCAACCACCCAACUCACCACACUUCAGGAGCUCUUCUAGUCCAAUACCAGCUGAAUCAGAGAAGAUGAGUGCCUCAGAGAUGGCCUCACAUGGUGGCUCAGUAUGUUAUGAAUACCUGGAGGACCCUCUAAAUGGAAAAAGAAAGUUUUGUGAACCACUGCUGGAUACAUCUAAACACAGUAGACAAGGUGAGACUUGCAUCCGGCUGAGAGCCCUGGGUAGGGCUGUGGGUCAGCCAAUGAGUCCUCACAGAUAAGGGUAUAUCUGCAAUGGGACUGAGGUGGGACACUGUAGAGAAGAAUAAAGAAGCAGGAAUGGGUUUGAA